UCGGGAAUUUUGGGCAAUGGGCGAAAGCCUGACCCAGCAACGCCGCGUGAGGGAUGAAGUAUUUCGGUAUGUAAACCUCGAAAGAAUGGGAAGAAUAAAUGACGGUACCAUUUAUAAGCUCCGGCUAACUACGUGCCAGCAGCCGCGGUAAUACGUGGGGAGCAAGCGUUGUUCGGAUUUACUGGGCGUAAAGGGCGCGUAGGCGGCGCGGUAAGUCACUUGUGAAAUCUCUGAGCUUAACUCAGAACGGCCAAGUGAUACUGCUGGGCUAGAGUGCGGAAGAGGCAACCGGAAUGCUUGGUGUAGCGGUGAAAUGCGUAGAUAUCAAGAGGAACACCUGAGGCGAAGGCGGGUUGCUGGGCCGACACUGACGCUGAUGCGCGAAAGCCAGGGGAGCAAACG
Molecule: ribosomal RNA, 402 nt
Filed under: uncultured bacterium
Lineage: Bacteria
Description: bacterial SSU rRNA
Rfam family: Bacterial small subunit ribosomal RNA
Source: RNAcentral